RNAcentral lists this long non-coding RNA (525 nucleotides) under Ursus maritimus (polar bear). RNAcentral describes it as "lncRNA (ENSUMAG00000013137.1)". The record is from RNAcentral. Lineage: Eukaryota; Metazoa; Chordata; Mammalia; Carnivora; Ursidae.
AGCCUUGGGAGCUCAGACAUGCUUUUCUGGAUGAGUGGCUUAUGCAAGGGCUCAGGAACUUCACGUCGUUUAGCAUAAAUUGGAGCACAUUGUACUGGAGAGAAGGAGGAUGACAGAAGAUAACAAGCAAACUGUACAGCGAGUUUGUGGCUACUUAGAAGAUAAAAAGGAAAGUCCAACUGAGGUUACAACAGGCAUUGAUUAGCGGUGGUAAUUUGGGAUCUCCUAAAGGCACGUGGAAAUGGUUAUGGAGUUCUGUUGUGGGUGAAGGUCAAAACUCACCAGUGAAGCUCCAUCAUUAAAUAACCACAAAUGUCUGGUUUUGUUGUUUUUUUUCUUCAAUUUGACUGCUAUCAAGAUCUGAUGAUGAGGAAAACUGGUUCAGAGUGUUGCCUGAAGGAGAGACACUUCUUGAACCUAAAGCAACUUUCCUCUUACCACGGUCCAAGCAUGCAGUUUAUCAAAGCGGGAGUGUCUACUUACUGUUGGAGCCAUUCUUGGACCUUCCUCUACGACUCCUCAUGA